This 274-nucleotide ribosomal RNA is filed under the name uncultured bacterium. RNAcentral's name for it is "partial 16S ribosomal RNA". It matches the Rfam family "Bacterial small subunit ribosomal RNA", at positions 523 to 796 of the family's 1533-position model. The record is from RNAcentral.
AUACGGAGGGUGCGAGCGUUAAUCGGAAUUACUGGGCGUAAAGCGUACGUAGGUGGUUUGAUAAGUCAGAUGUGAAAGCCCUGGGCUUAACCUGGGAACUGCAUUUGAUACUGUCGAACUAGAGUUUGGUAGAGGGAAGUGGAAUUCCGGGUGUAGCGGUGAAAUGCGUAGAGAUCCGGAGGAACAUCAGUGGCGAAGGCGGCUUCCUGGACUAAAACUGACGCUGAGGUACGAAAGCGUGGGGAGCAAACAGGAUUAGAAACCCCAGUAGUCC